CAAAAGGCUCUUUUCAGAGCCACCUACCUUAUCAACAAAAAGAGCU
Non-coding RNA from Sus scrofa (pig), 46 nucleotides. The record is from Rfam. Lineage: Eukaryota; Metazoa; Chordata; Mammalia; Artiodactyla; Suidae.